RNAcentral lists this transfer RNA (93 nucleotides) under Nitrospirota bacterium. RNAcentral describes it as "Nitrospirae bacterium (groundwater metagenome) tRNA-Ser". It matches the Rfam family "tRNA". Rfam says of the family: Transfer RNA (tRNA) molecules are approximately 80 nucleotides in length. Their secondary structure includes four short double-helical elements and three loops (D, anti-codon, and T loops). The record is from RNAcentral. RNAcentral also lists the same sequence under 2 other names. Lineage: Bacteria; Pseudomonadati; Nitrospirota.
GGAGAGAUGUCCGAGCGGCUGAAGGAGCACGACUGGAAAUCGUGUAGGCGGUCAAAAGCUGCCUCGGGGGUUCAAAUCCCCCUCUCUCCGCCA